AGAUUUCCUGUAUUCUUGAGAAUUAUUCUGUCAUAGAGGUAAGAGAACCAGACUGAGAGUCAGAAGACCUGAGCUCUAGUUCCAGAAGAAAGAUCUUGGGGAAGUCAUUGCAGGAUCCACCAGGAAGAAAAAAGGAUGCUACUGGCCCAAGGAGAAUGUAGAAACCUGUGGUGUCAACUUGAACCCAACUUUACUACGUAGUGAAGCCCAGCUCCUUCCAGUCAAGUCCGAGGAGCCAUAGUUGGUCACCCAUGAGUAAGAAAAUGAGCGGCAGCUGCCAUAAGCCAAGAAAAAUAUGGUUGGUGUAAGACACUGAGAGCUUUGAAGUUGAUUAAUCAAAAUUAACUAAUACUCUACACAUUUAUGAUACAUACACCAUGAGAAAAUUCAUCAAAACAAAUUUUAUGCUAAUGAAAAAUAAUAAUAACAAAAAAGGAAUCAGUGGGAAAGUUAGGAUUCCACACACUGGAACUUCACCUGCUCAAAUAAAGUAGUCAUAUAUCUA
Homo sapiens (human) is the source of this 505-nucleotide long non-coding RNA. RefSeq lists it as uncharacterized. The transcript has 2 exons. The record is from RefSeq and is a predicted model, not a curated record. NCBI's taxonomy places the organism in Eukaryota, Metazoa, Chordata, Mammalia, Primates, Hominidae.